RNAcentral lists this ribosomal RNA (493 nucleotides) under uncultured bacterium. Its description in RNAcentral is "partial 16S ribosomal RNA". It matches the Rfam family "Bacterial small subunit ribosomal RNA", at positions 28 to 506 of the family's 1533-position model. The record is from RNAcentral.
GACGAACGCUGGCGGCGUGCUUAACACAUGCAAGUCGAACGGAAAGGCCUGCUUUCCCUUGUGGAUUGCGGGUACUCGAGUGGCGAACGGGUGAGUAACACGUGAGUGAUCUGCCCCCAACUUGGGUAUAAGCCUGGGAAACUGGGUCUAAUUCCCGAUAGGACUGCAGGGUGGUGCCUGUGGUGGAAAACGAUUUUCUAGUGGUUGGGGAUGAGCUCGCGGCCUAUCAGCUUGUUGGUGGGGUAAUGGCCUACCAAGGCGGCGACGGGUAGCCGGCCUGGGAGGGUGGACGGCCACAUUGGGACUGAGAUUCGGCCCAGACUCCUACGGGAGGCAGCAGUGGGGAAUAUUGCACAAGGGGCGGAAGCCUGAGGCAGCGACGCCGCGUGGGGGAUGACGGCCUUCGGGUUGUAAACUCCUUUCGACCGCGAGGAAGCCACCUGGUUGGAAGGGUGGUGACGGUAGUGGUAGAAGAAGCACCGGCUAACUACGG